CCAGAAGAUCUCCGAUUUUAUUUACAAAGAUCAUAUUUUGUUAUUUAUUGAUAAAACAAGCCAUUUUACCACAGCAGGUGACACAUAUUAGGCCUGAAUAAGACUUUAGAAUUUGAAGUGGUGGUGACGAUGCCGAUAUCCAAGAUGGCGGAAUUAUACCAGUGGUCAAAUCUCAUCUAGUUUGGGUAAUUGCAUCAUUAUUUCUUUUUGUGAUUGGUGAUUUGUAAAAUUGAGAAUGAUUGAAAAAUCAGUAUUUUUUCACCCAAAGGCAUGAGUGAACAUUUGAUAAGUUUAUUGUGAUUUAAUUGGUAAUUUGGUCGACAUUUUGACAAUUAUAUUUAGCAAUAUUUCGAUAAAUGCGGACCUGCUUCUUCCUCUUUUCGCGGUAACGGUGUUUCGAUAACUCAGUUAGACUUCGAGAUCUACAUUUUCGACAAAGGCCUGGUGUAAUAUUACAUACUUGAUGAAGGUAUGACACGAAUGAGUACAAGUACAUUACAUUUUUCGACGAAGGCCUUCUGUAAUUUCAUACACUUCUUACGCAACAUUCAAUAGAUUUAUUUACUGUAUUAUCAUUUCGACCAAGGCGAAUUCGACACUUCAGUUACACAAGGUUAGUAACUUUUGUUCACAAAAUCCAAAUGGAGGCAAAUACAGAACAAUCAAACUUAGUCAUUCCAGUCAGUUACUGAAGCACAGUGAAAACUGUCGGGAGCAAUGCAACUGAUGGCAUGUCAAACUUCCAGUGACUGUCCCUGUCCAUAUAUUUCAAGACAGUACAAAUCUUGUAAUCAUUUUGUUUAUGCAAUGUACGUUAUUAUGUAUCAUUUCAGCACAAUCAAACUUAGUCAUUCCAGUCAGUUACUGAAGCACAGCGAAAACUGUCUGAAUUAGUGCUGCUGAUGGCAUGUAAUUACUCUACUACCACUACCAGUGACAGUCAAUGUCCAUAUAUUUUCAAGUGUGCGAAAUUAGUACUCGUCUACUUCUUAGUGUUAUUUGAAUGCAAUGUAUGUCAUAAAAAUAUUUUUUCAACACUAUAUCAACAUUCUCAUUCCUGUCAGUUUCUGAAAAUCAGCUAAAGCAAUCGCUACCAAUGCAGCUGAUAACAGCAAUUCUUUUUGUUCCCAAUGCCCAUCCAUGACAAUAUAUUUCACGCAUGUGACAAUCAUGUAAUCAUCCUGUUUUUUGUGUUCUAUUCAUGCAAUAAAUAAAUUCAGUAUUUUCAAAUCAUUGGUGCUACAAAACUAUUCUCAUUAUAUAUUAUUCAUAUUUUAUAAAAUGCUGUCAUGUCAAAUUUUGUGUCCUAUAAAUCAUUAUGAAGUCGGCAUUUUAUAUACAACUUUUGUACUCCUCCUAAAUAAACAUACAAAUCUUGUUUUAUGUAAACUUUGUAUAUGUGACCCGUCACAGCAAAACCAGGCGCAUGUCGCUCUGAGCUUGGCAGGUUGAGACGGACUGUUCUAAUCUUUCAUUAGCGACACCAUUUCUUACCCGAGUGCCUCCUUCAUUCAUACAUCUUGUACUUUAACUCAAGAUACCCAUCUUUGAAUAUUUUUAGUAUACCAAGUACUACAAUGUCAAUGUAUUGAAGUCAUGUUCUUGUAGUGUUAUUGGCUUUCUAUUAUCUUGUCAAAAUACCACUUGGUUCUCGCAAAAUCUCAAUAAAAACAAAUGCUAUUGCAUGUAUUGCAUAUUCUAACAGCUAUCCACUGUAUCGAUUUAUCCAUCAUCUGUACUAUUUGUCACAAAAAUGUUAUAUUAUGUAAAUCAUAUUUCAUUACAUAAUGCACACUGCCAAUUACUGCUGAACCAUUCAUAUGUCAUUUAAAUAAAUAAUUUUCAACUUUUUAAAA
This is a long non-coding RNA of Lineus longissimus, 1856 nucleotides long. RefSeq lists it as uncharacterized. The record is from RefSeq and is a predicted model, not a curated record. Lineage: Eukaryota; Metazoa; Nemertea; Pilidiophora; Heteronemertea; Lineidae. The transcript is spliced from 4 exons.